RNAcentral lists this ribosomal RNA (691 nucleotides) under uncultured Pseudomonadales bacterium. Its description in RNAcentral is "bacterial SSU rRNA". It matches the Rfam family "Bacterial small subunit ribosomal RNA", at positions 86 to 772 of the family's 1533-position model. The record is from RNAcentral. Lineage: Bacteria; Pseudomonadati; Pseudomonadota; Gammaproteobacteria; Pseudomonadales.
CUUAACCUAGCGGCGGACGGGUGAGUAAUGCUUAGGAAUCUGCCUAUUAGUGGGGGACAACAUCUCGAAAGGGAUGCUAAUACCGCAUACGUCCUACGGGAGAAAGCAGGGGACCUUCGGGCCUUGCGCUAAUAGAUGAGCCUAAGUCGGAUUAGCUAGUUGGUAGGGUAAAGGCCUACCAAGGCGACGAUCUGUAGCGGGUCUGAGAGGAUGAUCCGCCACACUGGGACUGAGACACGGCCCAGACUCCUACGGGAGGCAGCAGUGGGGAAUAUUGGACAAUGGGGGGAACCCUGAUCCAGCCAUGCCGCGUGUGUGAAGAAGGCCUUUUGGUUGUAAAGCACUUUAAGCGAGGAGGAGGCUACCGAGAUUAAUACUCUUGGAUAGUGGACGUUACUCGCAGAAUAAGCACCGGCUAACUCUGUGCCAGCAGCCGCGGUAAUACAGAGGGUGCAAGCGUUAAUCGGGUUUACUGGGCGUAAAGCGCGCGUAGGUGGCCAAUUAAGUCAAAUGUGAAAUCCCCGAGCUUAACUUGGGAAUUGCAUUCGAUACUGGUUGGCUAGAGUAUGGGAGAGGAUGGUAGAAUUCCAGGUGUAGCGGUGAAAUGCGUAGAGAUCUGGAGGAAUACCGAUGGCGAAGGCAGCCAUCUGGCCUAAUACUGACACUGAGGUGCGAAAGCAUGGGGAGCAAA